RNAcentral lists this transfer RNA (72 nucleotides) under Ovis aries (sheep). It matches the Rfam family "tRNA". From Rfam's summary of the family: Transfer RNA (tRNA) molecules are approximately 80 nucleotides in length. Their secondary structure includes four short double-helical elements and three loops (D, anti-codon, and T loops). Lineage: Eukaryota; Metazoa; Chordata; Mammalia; Artiodactyla; Bovidae. The record is from Rfam by way of RNAcentral.
UCCCUGGUAGCUCAGAUGGUAAAGCAUCUGCCUGCAAUGCAGGAGACCUAGGUUCAAUCCCUGGGUCGGGAA